GAAUAUUGGUCAAUGGGCGCAAGCCUGAACCAGCCAUGCCGCGUGCAGGAUGACGGUCCUAUGGAUUGUAAACUGCUUUUGUACGGGAAGAAACACUCCUACGUGUAGGAGCUUGACGGUACCGUAAGAAUAAGGAUCGGCUAACUCCGUGCCAGCAGCCGCGGUAAUACGGAGGAUCCAAGCGUUAUCCGGAAUCAUUGGGUUUAAAGGGUCCGUAGGCGGUUUUGUAAGUCAGUGGUGAAAGCCCAUCGCUCAACGGUGGAACGGCCAUUGAUACUGCAAGACUUGAAUUACUAGGAAGUAACUAGAAUAUGUAGUGUAGCGGUGAAAUGCUUAGAUAUUACAUGGAAUACCAAUUGCGAAGGCAGGUUACUACUAGUGGAUUGACGCUGAUGGACGAAAGCGUGGGGAGCGAACAGG
Molecule: ribosomal RNA, 420 nt
Filed under: uncultured bacterium
Lineage: Bacteria
Description: bacterial SSU rRNA
Rfam family: Bacterial small subunit ribosomal RNA
Source: RNAcentral